AAAAACUGUGUUUGUUAGUGGCUGAUCACUUGUGAAUUUGCGCAGGGGGAGAUUGGUGAAAAAGGCCAGAAGGGAGAACCUGGAACUGGUCACCGUGGGCCCAUUGGUCAGGCCGGUCCACCAGGACAAAAGGGCGAGCCUGGAGAACCAGGACCACCUGGAGCACAGGGCAUUCAGGGUAUUCGUGGCAAC
Molecule: long non-coding RNA, 192 nt
Organism: Sinocyclocheilus grahami
Lineage: Eukaryota; Metazoa; Chordata; Actinopteri; Cypriniformes; Cyprinidae
Exons: 3
Source: RefSeq, a predicted model, not a curated record